GAUCGCAGCCUCGGCGCGGUGACCUCCAUUGAUCUGCCCGGUGUGCCAUCUUCGCCCCGGCAGUGGAUCAGCGCGAGCGCGGUGGCCGACGGGAAGCGGAGGCCGGUGUUCCAUGUUACGGGGCCGAAGCGGCGAUGGCGGCGAUCGGACGUGAGGAGAACGAACUCGAGGUGCACGGUGGCGAGCUCCGGCGCGGCGUCGACGAUGCCGUGGAGGUGUUUGACGCGAUACGUGCAGUGUCGCAGCCGUAGCGUCGUUAGCCUCGGGAAGGCGGCGGCGGCGGAGGCGGUGCACGGCGGCGGCGGCGGCGGCGAGAAGUUGUGGCACCUGCACGCGGAGGGUGUUCGACGGAAGGGAGGAGAACCUCAGGAUGUAGACGAAAACUUCGCCAUCGUCCAUCACGGCGACGUCGUGUUCGUCGGGCUGGCCACGGUGGACGGCGGCGACGCGGAGCUCCUCGACGCGGCGCGCCGCCGGGUGGGCGACCACGGCGUCGAGCACGUCGUGAUCUCCGGCUCUGAGCGAGUUGUACGCGGAGCACUCGUCGUCUCCCUCGACGUGCAAGGUGAGCCGCGUGACGGCACGGUCGGCGGCGGCGAGCGCCGCAUCGGCGGCACGGACGAAGGCGUCCCUGCCGUCGGGGACGCACGCGGCGAGGUUGACGGCGCCGGAGGAGCGCCAGAGCGCGCCGAACCGCCGCGACAGCAAGCUGGUGGACGCGGCCUCCUUGGCGGGCGCGAAAUGGAGGACGCGAACGAGGAGGUCGUCGGGGAGGGCGGACAGGCGGUCGUCUCCGGCCGCCAUCGGUCGUGGACCACGGUGGCGGCGGCGGCGGCGAGACGCGACGGUGAUGGGGGAGAUCGAUCUUGGUUCGGGCUAAGGUAUGGAUCGGAGUCGGUGGCGAGGCGGGCUUUGGACCGAAUCGGGCUUGGCCCAUCAGGCUAA
RNAcentral lists this long non-coding RNA (945 nucleotides) under Oryza sativa Indica Group (long-grained rice). RNAcentral describes it as "lncRNA OsMH63_11G022420". Lineage: Eukaryota; Viridiplantae; Streptophyta; Magnoliopsida; Poales; Poaceae. The record is from RNAcentral.